UUGUGCGUGUGACAUCGGCUAUGUCGGGUGUGCGCAUAACU
This 41-nucleotide microRNA precursor is filed under the name Acyrthosiphon pisum (pea aphid). RNAcentral's name for it is "microRNA api-mir-210 precursor". Its record names the gene api-mir-210. Lineage: Eukaryota; Metazoa; Arthropoda; Insecta; Hemiptera; Aphididae. The record is from miRBase by way of RNAcentral.